This 71-nucleotide transfer RNA is filed under the name Marmota monax (woodchuck). Its description in RNAcentral is "tRNA.Ala". The record is from RNAcentral. Lineage: Eukaryota; Metazoa; Chordata; Mammalia; Rodentia; Sciuridae.
GGGGUUGUGGCUCAGCGGUAGAGUGCUCACCUAGCAAGUGCAAGGCGCUGGGUUCGAUCCUCAGCACCACA